CAGCAGCCGCGGGAAUACGAAGGGGGCAAGCGUUAAUCGGAAUUACUGGGCGUAAAGCGUGCGCAGGCGGUUCGUUAAGACAGAUGUGAAAUCCCCGGGCUUAACCUGGGAACUGCAUUUGUGACUGGCGAGCUAGAGUAUGGCAGAGGGGGGUAGAAUUCCACGUGUAGCAGUGAAAUGCGUAGAGAUGUGGAGGAAUACCGAUGGCGAAGGCAGCCCCCUGGGCCAAUACUGACACUCAUGCACGAAAGCGUGGGGAGCAAACAGGAUUAGAUACCCCUGUAGUCCCUGUCUCUUAUAC
This 301-nucleotide ribosomal RNA is filed under the name uncultured bacterium. RNAcentral's name for it is "partial 16S ribosomal RNA". It matches the Rfam family "Bacterial small subunit ribosomal RNA", at positions 509 to 807 of the family's 1533-position model. The record is from RNAcentral.